This 1405-nucleotide ribosomal RNA is filed under the name metagenome. RNAcentral describes it as "bacterial SSU rRNA". It matches the Rfam family "Bacterial small subunit ribosomal RNA". The record is from RNAcentral.
AGAGUUUGAUCAUGGCUCAGGACGAACGCUGGCGGCGUGCUUUAGACAUGCAAGUCGAACGGAGUAGCAAUACUCAGUGGCAAACGGCGGAGUAAGAUAUAAGCAACGUGCCCUGAAGACUGGGAUAGCCAGCCGAAAGGCUGAGUAAUACCAGAUGUGGCCCUUUGAGGACAUCCUCGAAGGAUUAAACGGUUUUUCGCUUCAGGAGCGGCUUAUAGCCUAUCAGCUAGUUGGUGGGGUAAUGGCCUACCAAGGCUACGACGGGUAGGGGGUCUGAGAGGAUGAUCCCCCCGAGUGGGACUGAGACACGGCCCACACACCUACGGGUGGCAGCAGUUUGGAAUCUUGCCCAAUGGGGGAAACCCUGAGGCAGCGACGCCGCGUGGAGGAUGAAGGAUCUAGGUCUGUAAACUCCUUUUAUCGGGAAAGACUUAGGACGGUACCCGAUGAAUAAGCACCGGCUAACUACGUGCCAGCAGCCGCGGUAAGACGUAGUGCAAGCGUUGUCCGGAUUUACUGGGCGUAAAGGACGCGUAGGCGGUUCGUUAAGUGUGAAGUGAAAUCUCCAGGGCUCAACCCGGAAACUGCUUCGCAUACUGGCGGACUGGAGGGAUGCAGAGGUAAGUAGAAUUCCUGGUGUAGCGGUGAAAUGCGUUGAUAUCAGGAGGAAUACCGAUGGCGAAGGCAGCUUACUGGGCAUCAUCUGACGCUGAGGCGUGAAAGCGUGGGUAGCAAACAGGAUUAGAUACCCUGGUAGUCCACGCCCUAAACGAUGGAUACUAGACGUAAGAGGUAUCGACCCCUCUUGUGUCGCAGUUAACGCACUAAGUAUCCCGCCUGGGGACUACGGCCGCAAGGUUGAAACUCAAAUGAAUUGACGGGGACCCGCACAAGCGGUGGAGCAUGUGGAUUAAUUCGAUACUAACCGAAGAACCUUACCCAGGUUUGACAUCGAUCGCAAGACCGAGAGAUCGGUCCCUCCCCCCAAAAGGGGGACGUGAAGACACUUGUUGCAUGGCUGUCGUCAGCUCGUGCCGUGAGGUGUACGGUUAAGUCCGCCAACGAGCGCAACCCUCGUCCUAUGUUGCCAGCGAGAAAGUCGGGAACUCAUAGGAGACCGCCGGUGUAAGCCGGAGGAAGGUGGGGAUGACGUCAAGUCAGCAUGGCAGUUACGCCUGGGGCUUCACACAUGCUACAAUGGGCGAAACAAAGGGCAGCAAUAUCGCGAGAUGGAGCAAAUCCCAAAAAUACGCCCCCAGUUCAAAUUGCAGUCUGCAACUCGACUGCAUGAAGGCGGAAUCGCUAGUAAACGCAGGUCAGCUAUACUGCGUUGAAUACGUUCCCGGGUCUUGUACACACCGCCCGUCAAGUCACCUGAAUUGUCUUCACCCGAAGUCUGUGGCCU